AUUAAAGUAGCUAACCAUUGAUGACAUAUAUGGACCGAAAGCAAACUCCCAACGCGCCACCCUCUUCGCCACCGUUGCCGCCGCCGCUGCACCAGGACGACGCCGACGAAGAUGAUGAGACUGUGAAGCAGCUCAACCAAUGCUCUUCUCUAUACUUAUCUUUACAGGAUUGUCUGAUAAAUACUGACAGGAAUUGGAAGUCGUGUCAAAAGGAAGUUCAGGCUCUCAAGGCAUGUAAUGAAAGAAGACAGAAAGACAAGAGGAGUUGAGAAAUCAUUUUGAUUUUCGGUGGAUGAUGCUUCAACUUUGAUCGUUAUGGAUUAUUACGUGGACCUAAUUUUUACAGCGGCUAUGCAGUCUUUUCCUUAAAUUUGCUGAGGUUUUCUCAGGCAUAAAUGGACCAGUAGAAGUCUCGCAAGAUGCAACUCAAAGAGGAGAAAUGGAGAGUAUUUCUAAUGCUAUUUUUGCGGAGAGAUAAAAUCAUUAUAAUUCAUGUCUAAGGGGAUCAAAAUACAAGCACCACCAGCAGUUAAAUUACAAUACUUGUAUGUUAAAUUAACCCCUUUGUACAUUCAAAAGAGAACAUAUACAAAGAGAGAAAAUAAAACGA
Molecule: RNA transcript, 610 nt
Organism: Nicotiana attenuata
Lineage: Eukaryota; Viridiplantae; Streptophyta; Magnoliopsida; Solanales; Solanaceae
Exons: 5
Source: RefSeq, a predicted model, not a curated record